UAUUAGUGACAUUGCUAAUAUCAAUGUUGAACCCUGCCACGGCUCUAUGCGGAGCUGCCUGUGUGAGCCUCUUU
This 74-nucleotide ribosomal RNA is filed under the name uncultured soil eukaryote. RNAcentral describes it as "partial 5.8S ribosomal RNA". The record is from RNAcentral.